UGGGGUGCUAAUACAUGCAAGUCGAGCGGACAGAAGGGAGCUUGCUCCCGGAUGUUAGCGGCGGACGGGUGAGUAACACGUGGGUAACCUGCCUGUAAGACUGGGAUAACUCCGGGAAACCGGAGCUAAUACCGGAUAGUUCCUUGAACCGCAUGGUUCAAGGAUGAAAGACGGUUUCGGCUGUCACUUACAGAUGGACCCGCGGCGCAUUAGCUAGUUGGUGAGGUAACGGCUCACCAAGGCGACGAUGCGUAGCCGACCUGAGAGGGUGAUCGGCCACACUGGGACUGAGACACGGCCCAGACUCCUACGGGAGGCAGCAGUAGGGAAUCUUCCGCAAUGGACGAAAGUCUGACGGAGCAACGCCGCGUGAGUGAUGAAGGUUUUCGGAUCGUAAAGCUCUGUUGUUAGGGAAGAACAAGUGCAAGAGUAACUGCUUGCACCUUGACGGUACCUAACCAGAAAGCCACGGCUAACUACGUGCCAGCAGCCGCGGUAAUACGUAGGUGGCAAGCGUUGUCCGGAAUUAUUGGGCGUAAAGGGCUCGCAGGCGGUUUCUUAAGUCUGAUGUGAAAGCCCCCGGCUCAACCGGGGAGGGUCAUUGGAAACUGGGAAACUUGAGUGCAGAAGAGGAGAGUGGAAUUCCACGUGUAGCGGUGAAAUGCGUAGAGAUGUGGAGGAACACCAGUGGCGAAGGCGACUCUCUGGUCUGUAACUGACGCUGAGGAGCGAAAGCGUGGGGAGCGAACAGGAUUAGAAUCCGG
RNAcentral lists this ribosomal RNA (764 nucleotides) under Bacillus pumilus. RNAcentral's name for it is "bacterial SSU rRNA". It matches the Rfam family "Bacterial small subunit ribosomal RNA", at positions 40 to 789 of the family's 1533-position model. The record is from RNAcentral. Lineage: Bacteria; Bacillati; Bacillota; Bacilli; Caryophanales; Bacillaceae.